GACGAACGCUGGCGGCGUGCUUAACACAUGCAAGUCGAACGGAAAGGCCCUGCUUGCAGGGUACUCGAGUGGCGAACGGGUGAGUAACACGUGUGCGAUCUGCCCUGCACUUCGGGAUAAGCCUGGGAAACUGGGUCUAAUACCGGAUAGGAGCCAUUUUUAGUGUGAUUGUUGGAAAGUUUUUUCGGUGUAGGAUGAGCUCGCGGCCUAUCAGCUUGUUUGUGGGGUAAUGGCCUACCAAGGCGGCGACGGGGAGCCGGCCUGAGAGGGUGGACGGCCACAUUGGGACUGAGAUACGGCCCAGACUCCUACGGGAGGCAGCAGUGGGGACGAUUGCACAAUCGGCGCAAGACUGAUGAAGCGACGCCGCGUGGGGGAUGACGGCCUUCGGGUUGUAAGCUCCUUUCGCUAGGGACGAAGCUUUUUGUGACGGUACCUAGAUAAGAAGCACCGGCUAACUACGUG
RNAcentral lists this ribosomal RNA (465 nucleotides) under uncultured bacterium. Its description in RNAcentral is "partial 16S ribosomal RNA". It matches the Rfam family "Bacterial small subunit ribosomal RNA", at positions 28 to 507 of the family's 1533-position model. The record is from RNAcentral.